This 497-nucleotide ribosomal RNA is filed under the name uncultured bacterium. RNAcentral's name for it is "partial 16S ribosomal RNA". It matches the Rfam family "Bacterial small subunit ribosomal RNA", at positions 28 to 507 of the family's 1533-position model. The record is from RNAcentral.
GAUGAACGCUGGCGGCGUGCCUAAUACAUGCAAGUCGAGCGAACGGACGAGACGCUUGCUUCUCUGAUGUUAGCGGCGGACGGGUGAGUCACACGUGGAUAACCUACCUAUAAGACUGGGAUAACUUAGGGCGACCGGAGCUCAUAAUGGAAGAUAUUUUGAACCGCAUGGUUCAAGAGUGAAAGACGGUCUUGCUGUCACUUCUAGAUGGAUCCGCGCUGCAUUAGCUAGUUGGUACGGUAACGGCUUACCAAGGCAACGAUGCAUAGCCGACCUGAGAGGGUGUACGGCCACACUGGAACUGAGACACGGUCCAGACUCCUACGGGAGGCAGCAGUAGGGAAUCGUCCGCAAUGGGCGGAAGCCUGACGGAGCGACGCCGCGUGAGUGAUGAAGGUCUGCGGAUCGUAAAACUCUGUUAGUAGGGAAGAACAUAUGUGUAAGUAACUGUGCACAUCUUGACGGUACCUAAUCAGAAAGCCACGGCUAACUACGUG